CCAAACAGGGGAUUGCCCCAGUAACGGCGAGUGAAGCGGCAACAGCUCAAAUUUGAAAUCUGGCCUCUGGCCCGAGUUGUAAUUUGCAGAGGAUGCUUCGGGCGCGGUGCCUUCCAAGUCCCCUGGAACGGGGCGCCGGAGAGGGUGAGAGCCCCGUACGGUUGGCGGCCAAGCCUGUGUGAAGCUCCUUCGACGAGUCGAGUAGUUUGGGAAUGCUGCUCUAAGCGGGAGGUAGACCCCUUCUAAAGCUAAAUACCGGCCAGAGACCGAUAGCGCACAAGUAGAGUGAUCGAAAGAUGAAAAGCACUUUGAAAAGAGGGUUAAACAGCACGUGAAAUUGUUGAAAGGGAAGCGCUUGUGACCAGACGUGCGCCGGGGUGUUCAGCGGGCGUUCUCGCCCGUGCACUCGCCUCGGCGCAGGCCAGCGUCGGUUUGGGCAGAGGGAUAAAGGCGCCUGGAAUGUGGCUCCCCCGGGAGUGUUAUAGCCAGGCGUGCCAUGCCUCCGCCCGGACCGAGGUACGCGUUCCGCAAGGACGCUGGCGUAAUGGUUCCCAGCGACCCGUCUUGAAACACGGACCAAGGAGUCGAGGUUUUGCGCGAGUGUUUGGGUGAAAAACCCGCACGCGUAAUGAAAGUGAACGUAGGUGAGAGCUUCGGCGCAUCACCGACCGAUCCUGAUGUUUUCGGAUGGAUUUGAGUAAGAGCGUAGGGCCUCGGACCCGAAAGAUGGUGAACUAUGCUUGGAUAGGGUGAAGCCAGAGGAAACUCUGGUGGAGGCUCGCAGCGGUUCUGACGUGCAAAUCGAUCGUCAAAUCUGAGCAUGGGGGCGAAAGACUAAUCGAACCAU
RNAcentral lists this ribosomal RNA (847 nucleotides) under Chloridium cylindrosporellum. RNAcentral's name for it is "partial large subunit ribosomal RNA". It matches the Rfam family "Eukaryotic large subunit ribosomal RNA", at positions 65 to 943 of the family's 3401-position model. Lineage: Eukaryota; Fungi; Ascomycota; Sordariomycetes; Chaetosphaeriales; Chaetosphaeriaceae. The record is from RNAcentral.